This 485-nucleotide ribosomal RNA is filed under the name uncultured bacterium. Its description in RNAcentral is "partial 16S ribosomal RNA". It matches the Rfam family "Bacterial small subunit ribosomal RNA", at positions 28 to 523 of the family's 1533-position model. The record is from RNAcentral.
GACGAACGCUGGCGGCGUGCUUAACACAUGCAAGUCGAACGAUGAAGCUGGAGCUUGCUCUGGUGGAUUAGUGGCGAACGGGUGAGUAACACGUGAGUAACCUGCCCUGGACCCUGGGAUAACCCCGAGAAAUCGGAGCUAAUACCGGAUAGGACCUCGGAUCGCAUGAUCUGGGGUGGAAAGUUUUUCGGUCUGGGAUGGACUCGCGGCCUAUCAGCUUGUUGGUGAGGUAAUGGCUCACCAAGGCGUCGACGGGUAGCCGGCCUGAGAGGGUGACCGGCCACACUGGGACUGAGACACGGCCCAGACUCCUACGGGAGGCAGCAGUGGGGAAUAUUGCACAAUGGGCGCAAGCCUGAUGCAGCAACGCCGCGUGCGGGAUGACGGCCUUCGGGUUGUAAACCGCUUUUAGUAAGGAAGAAGCCGCAAGGUGACGGUACUUGCAGAAAAAGGACCGGCUAACUACGUGCCAGCCGCCGCCGUAA